AGUUUGAUCCUGGCUCAGGACGAACGCUGGCGGCGUGCUUAAUACAUGCAAGUCGAGCGAGGUUACUGCAUCAGAUUCCUUCGGGAUGAAGAAGCUUUAACCUAGCGGCGGACGGGUGAGUAACGCGUGGGUAACCUACCCUAGAGAUCGGGAUAACAGCGGGAAACUGUUGCUAAUACCGGAUGUCUCUACGAGAAGGCAUCUUUUAGUAGAGAAAGCGAUAGCGCUCUAGGAUGGGCCCGCGUCCCAUUAGCUAGUUGGUGAGGUAACGGCUCACCAAGGCGACGAUGGGUAGCCGGCCUGAGAGGGUGGACGGCCACACUGGGACUGAGACACGGCCCAGACUCCUACGGGAGGCAGCAGUAGGGAAUAUUGCGCAAUGGAGGAAACUCUGACGCAGCGACGCCGCGUGAGCGAUGAAGGUUUUCGGAUCGUAAAGCUCUGUCCUUGGGGAAGAAGGUCUUCGGACUUGACGGUACCCAAGAAGAAAGCCCCGGCUAACUACGUGCCAGCAGCCGCGGUAAUACGUAGGGGGCAAGCGUUGUCCGGAAUUAUUGGGCGUAAAGGGUGCGUAGGCGGCCUUUUAAGUCAGAUGUGAAAGCCCGCGGCUUAACUGCGGGAUUGCAUUUGAAAC
RNAcentral lists this ribosomal RNA (634 nucleotides) under uncultured bacterium. Its description in RNAcentral is "bacterial SSU rRNA". It matches the Rfam family "Bacterial small subunit ribosomal RNA", at positions 10 to 633 of the family's 1533-position model. The record is from RNAcentral.